UUCUCUUAGUUUGUCAGCAAAUCAUGGAGAACAAGGCUUUAUACGUGUUGUUUUUGGCGCUCGCCAUGUUUGUGAUGAUGCUGGCCACGGGCGUGGACGUGGGAGGAAUCGCAAAGGCUGCUGCCCAGCGCUGCCAGUCGGGGUGGUAUUGGUAUGACAAUAGUUGCCACCGUUGCCAGAGGGGUUGGAGCUGGCGCAACUGAAACCUCUCGUUUCACGGGGUAAGCCCAAGUUAAGAAUCAGCAUCGUAAUUGAUUUCAUCAUUCUGCAGUGCCAAGGGUCUGGAAACAAGAAUAAAGACACUGAUAACGUGCUUUCUGUAUCGUGCGAUGCUGGAUGAGUUCUAGCAAUAAUAUAUAAAUUGUCCAGGCCUCGAUAUAAA
Molecule: long non-coding RNA, 382 nt
Filed under: Selaginella moellendorffii
Lineage: Eukaryota; Viridiplantae; Streptophyta; Lycopodiopsida; Selaginellales; Selaginellaceae
Description: long non-coding RNA (SMOE_LNC001004)
Source: RNAcentral